CAGAAUGUUAUAGUAGGCGAUAUCAUGAAAGCAAUGUUGGAACUUUAUACUCAGGUUUCCUAGACUUUCCAUCACCACCAGUGAAUUCUGAGUGACAAUAGUGUGGAAUUUGGAAGAAUGGAAGAGAAACUGAAGUGGAGAGAUGGUGAAAGAGAAGAAAAAAUGAAGAAAGAUGCUUGCAAAAAUACUGCUGUGGGUCCUGAGAUGAGGAUUCUGGGAGGGGACGGUCAGCGGGGAGCGGGAUCGUCUUAGACCAUGAGGGAGGAUGAGGUGCUGAGAGCUGGAAGAAUGAAGAGAAAAGUGGCCUGAUGAGGAGGUGGAGGUGUGAGAAGUGACAAAGAGUCUGUGAGGAGAAUGAGGAAGGGCAACCCGAGAAAUCAAGAAAAAUCAGGAGACAAAUCUCCUAGAAGCCAAGAAGAUGGUGGUAAACUAAUAAGUGAUGAGAGCAG
This 449-nucleotide long non-coding RNA is filed under the name Homo sapiens (human). RNAcentral's name for it is "PREDICTED lncRNA (TCONS_00202929)". The record is from RNAcentral. Lineage: Eukaryota; Metazoa; Chordata; Mammalia; Primates; Hominidae.